GGGCGAUUAGCUCAGCGGUUAGAGCGCUCGCCUCACACGCGAGAGGUCAAAGGUUCAAAUCCUUUAUCGCCCACCA
RNAcentral lists this transfer RNA (76 nucleotides) under Acidobacteriota bacterium. Its description in RNAcentral is "Acidobacteria bacterium tRNA-Val". It matches the Rfam family "tRNA". From Rfam's summary of the family: Transfer RNA (tRNA) molecules are approximately 80 nucleotides in length. Their secondary structure includes four short double-helical elements and three loops (D, anti-codon, and T loops). RNAcentral also lists the same sequence under 13 other names. The record is from RNAcentral. Lineage: Bacteria; Pseudomonadati; Acidobacteriota.